UUUAAUUCGAAGCAACGCGCAGAACCUUACCAGCUUUUGACAUGGGACGUAUAAGGCUUAGAGAUAGGCUUUUUCAGUUUGGCUGGCGUCCACACAGGUGCUGCAUGGCUGUCGUCAGCUCGUGUCGUGAGAUGUUGGGUUAAGUCCCGCAACGAGCGCAACCCUCAUUGCUAGUUGCCAUCAGGUUGGGCUGGGCACUUUAGCAAAACUGCCGGUGACAAGCCGGAGGAAGGUGGGGAUGACGUCAAGUCCUCAUGGCCCUUAUAGGCUGGGCUACACACGUACUACAAUGGCGGUGACAAAGGGCAGCGAAGGCGCAAGCCUAAGCGAAUCCAUAAAAGCCGCCUCAGUUCGGAUUGUUCUCUGCAACUCGAGAACAUGAAGUCGGAAUCGCUAGUAAUCGUAGAUCAGCAUGCUA
RNAcentral lists this ribosomal RNA (418 nucleotides) under uncultured bacterium. RNAcentral describes it as "bacterial SSU rRNA". It matches the Rfam family "Bacterial small subunit ribosomal RNA", at positions 945 to 1359 of the family's 1533-position model. The record is from RNAcentral.